This is a long non-coding RNA of Oncorhynchus keta (chum salmon), 977 nucleotides long. RefSeq lists it as uncharacterized. The record is from RefSeq and is a predicted model, not a curated record. NCBI's taxonomy places the organism in Eukaryota, Metazoa, Chordata, Actinopteri, Salmoniformes, Salmonidae. The transcript has 5 exons.
GUUGCCCAGGCCUGUUAUAACCCCUUAGACAAUGGAACCCCUGGAGUUGCCCAGGCCUGUUAUAACCCCUCCCUUAAACAAUGGAGACCCCCAACACCUUAGUCCCACCUUUGCCGUCAUGAGGCAGGACCUCACAGCAGCCUUGCCCUAAUGCAACCCCCCAGUCACUGACCUCACUGACUAGCUUCUGUCAUGUUUCAGUGUUGAGGUUUCUUCAGUGUUGAGGUUACUUCUACCAUGUUUCAGUGUUGAGGUUUCUUCAGUGUUGAGGUUUCUUCUACCAUGUUUCAGUGUUGAGGUUACUUCUGUCAUGUUUCAGUGUUGAGGUUUCUUCAGUGUUGAGGUUUCUUCAGUGUUGAGGUUACUUCUACCAUGUUUCAGUGUUGAGGUUUCUUCAGUGUUGAGGUUACUUCUGUCAUGUUUCAGUGUUGAGGUUUCUUCUACCAUGUUUCAGUGUUGAGGUCACAGCAGCACAGUAGCAGCUCAGUAGUGGACAGAACUACGGUCAACAGUUGGUGUAUGCUGAUGUUAGUGAUUGGACUGCCAGUGAUUACCAUAAGCAAUUUAAAUGUUAUUGAUUUCAUCUCCCUUCUGCACCAUGUAAUUGAACACCCAGGACAAGCCCCCUCCGCCCCACCUCUCUCUCUCUUUUGGUUGUCUUCCUCUUUCUAUUUCUUUCUUUCUUUCUCCCUCUCUCAAGCCCAAACAGCUUCUCCCCUGCAUCCCUCCUUCCAUACAUGUUUCUAUCUUUCUUCCUCUCUCUCUCUCUCUCUCUCUCUCUCUCUCUCUCUCUCUCUCUCUGUCUCUCUCUCUCUGUCUCUCUCUCUCUGUCUCUCUCUCUCUCUCUCUCUCUCUCUCUGUCUCUCUCUCUCUCUCUCUCUGUCUCUCUCUCUCUCUCUCUCUCUCUCUCUCUCUCUCUCUCUCUCUCUCUCUCUCUCUCUCUCUCUCUCUCUCUCUCUCUCUCUCUCUCUCUCUCU